Molecule: ribosomal RNA, 253 nt
Filed under: uncultured bacterium
Lineage: Bacteria
Description: partial 16S ribosomal RNA
Rfam family: Bacterial small subunit ribosomal RNA
Source: RNAcentral
GACAGAGGGUGCAAACGUUGUUCGGAAUUACUGGGCGUAAAGCGCGUGUAGGCGGCUAUGUAAGUCGGGCGUGAAAUCCCACGGCUCAACCGUGGAAGUGCACCCGAAACUGCGUAGCUAGAGUCCUGGAGAGGAAGGUGGAAUGCUUGGUGUAGAGGUGAAAUUCGUAGAUAUCAAGCGGAACACCGGUGGCGAAGGCGGAUCUCUGGGCCGAUACUGACGCUGAGGAGCGAAAGCGUGGGGAGCGAACAGG